Molecule: non-coding RNA, 547 nt
Organism: Pelobates cultripes (western spadefoot toad)
Lineage: Eukaryota; Metazoa; Chordata; Amphibia; Anura; Pelobatidae
Source: the annotation of a GenBank genome assembly
CCGCAACUUAAUUGCUCCUAGGUGGCCGCCAUUCGGCAUUCGAACACGUGGCGAGAACAAAGGAUGGAGACCAUCUUAAAACUCACGAAUGCGGUCAACGGGGCUUACGCGUGAAUUGCCUGGAACUAUUUUCGGCACGGCAAUCAUGCGAAUGCCCGGUCCUCAUGGAAGUCCUGGAUGAAUACGUUCCCCUCCACAAAUCAAACUGGCAUUCGGUAGAUAGAACCUACCGAACGAGGGGGACAUUCGCAUGUAACCAGCUGCACCAUACGAACGGUGGUUUUCGUGUAGUUAGACGCGAACGGAGACCGGCUCUUGCUACUAAUUUCAUGGAACUCUAAAUCGGAUACCUCCACAUGGCGAGCCUAUCAAACUUCUACACGAUGCGACACGGAAACUACUGAACAGAAAUUCGUGAGAUUUGGAUAUGUGACUACCAGUAUCCUCAGCUACCCAGGGAUGAUAAAAUUAUAGUUGUAUGUAUUAUAAAAAGUACUUUUCUGAAAUUGUUAAAAAUUAUAAUGUUUCUGGCCAGCAGAUAAUUGAG